This 252-nucleotide ribosomal RNA is filed under the name uncultured bacterium. RNAcentral's name for it is "partial 16S ribosomal RNA". It matches the Rfam family "Bacterial small subunit ribosomal RNA", at positions 524 to 776 of the family's 1533-position model. The record is from RNAcentral.
UACGUAGGUCCCGAGCGUUGUCCGGAUUUAUUGGGCGUAAAGCGGGCGCAGGUGGUUUAUUAAGUCUGGUGUAAAAGGCAGUGGCUCAACCAUUGUAUGCAUUGGAAACUGGUAGACUUGAGUACAGGAGAGGAGAGUGAAAUUCCAUGUGUAGCGGUGAAAUGCGUAGAUAUAUGGAGGAACACCGGUGGCGAAAGCGGCUCUCUGGCCUGUAACUGACACUGAGGCUCGAAAGCGUGGGGAGCAAACAGG